AGAAACUUAGGUUACACCUAAACCAAGGACCUUCAAAGCCCUAGACAAGAACCUACUCUUAGUUUCUG
This 68-nucleotide transfer RNA is filed under the name Nephrurus laevissimus. RNAcentral describes it as "tRNA-Trp". Lineage: Eukaryota; Metazoa; Chordata; Lepidosauria; Squamata; Carphodactylidae. The record is from RNAcentral.